GUGGGAGGCUGGGAGAGAUCGAAUAUAUCCAAAGAUUUGGGACUCAAAUCCUCUCAUUCUCCUGAUAAUCAGGUUUAUUUCUGUGUUUUCUUUAUUUUUGUUGAUUUUAAUUUUUUUCAUAUUUCCUUUAUUUUUAUUGAUUUUUUCUAUGUUUUCUCUAUUUUUCUGUGAUUUUGUGUUGGGUAUUUUCUUUCUAUUUUUCUAUUCUAAACACCAUACC
RNAcentral lists this long non-coding RNA (220 nucleotides) under Elaeis guineensis (African oil palm). Its description in RNAcentral is "long non-coding RNA (EGUI_LNC021573)". The record is from RNAcentral. Lineage: Eukaryota; Viridiplantae; Streptophyta; Magnoliopsida; Arecales; Arecaceae.